UCCGACUUAACGUCGGCAGUCUCCUUAGAGUGCCCAACUUAAUGCUGGCAACUAAGGACAAGGGCUGCGCUCGUUGCGGGACUUAACCCAACAUCUCACGGCACGAGCUGACGACAGCCAUGCAGCGUCUGUGCUGGCUCCCGACUUUACGGGUGGUUCCCCUUUCGGGGUUCUACUUCCAGCAUGUCAAGCCCAGGUAAGGUUCUUCGCGUCGCAUCGAAUUAAACCACACGCUCCGCUGCUUGUGCGGGCCCCCGUCAAUUCCUUUGAGUUUUAGCCUUGCGGCCGUACUCCCCAGGCGGCUCACUUAAUGCGUUAGCUUCGACGCGGAGGGGGUCGAUACCCCCCACAUCUAGUGAGCAUCGUUUACGGCGUGGACUAC
Molecule: unclassified non-coding RNA, 382 nt
Filed under: uncultured bacterium
Lineage: Bacteria
Description: contains 16S-23S intergenic spacer region
Source: RNAcentral